AAGUCGUAACAAGGUUUCCGUAGGUGAACCUGCGGAAGGAUCAUUAUCAGAUGCUGCUUGCAGUUAUCUUACCCUGUGUGAACUGUACCUUUAGCCUUGGCGCCAGUGAAGGCAUCUGCGUGGUGUUGAGUCAACUCAUACCGCAAAGGUGUCGGCUAGGCGUCAUAUUAUGUUGACCAACUGAACUGAAUGCCGAGUAUAAAUGUAAAGACUAGAAAACUUUUAGCAACGGAUCUCUAGGCUCUU
RNAcentral lists this unclassified non-coding RNA (246 nucleotides) under fungal sp. RNAcentral's name for it is "partial internal transcribed spacer region". The stretch from base 1 to 46 matches the Rfam family "Eukaryotic small subunit ribosomal RNA", at positions 1786 to 1831 of the family's 1831-position model. Lineage: Eukaryota; Fungi. The record is from RNAcentral.